RNAcentral lists this ribosomal RNA (439 nucleotides) under uncultured bacterium. RNAcentral's name for it is "partial 16S ribosomal RNA". It matches the Rfam family "Bacterial small subunit ribosomal RNA", at positions 339 to 795 of the family's 1533-position model. The record is from RNAcentral.
CUACGGGAUGCUGCAGUGGGGAAUAUUGCACAAUGGAGGAAACUCUGAUGCAGCGACGCCGCGUGGAGGAUGACACUUUUCGGAGCGUAAACUCCUUUUAUAUAGGAAGAAGAUGACGGUACUAUAUGAAUAAGCGCCGGCUAACUCCGUGCCAGCAGCCGCGGUAAUACGGAGGGCGCAAGCGUUACUCGGAAUCACUGGGCGUAAAGAGCGUGUAGGCGGAUUAAAAAGUCAGAAGUGAAAUCCUAUAGCUUAACUAUAGAACUGCUUCUGAAACUCUUAAUCUAGAAUAUGGGAGAGGUAGAUGGAAUUUCUGGUGUAGGGGUAACAUCCGUAGAGAUCAGAAGGAAUACCGAUUGCGAAGGCGAUCUACUAGAACAUUAUUGACGCUGAGACGCGAAAGCGUGGGGAGCAAACAGGAUUAGAUACCCUCGUAGUC